This is a long non-coding RNA of Oncorhynchus nerka (sockeye salmon), 719 nucleotides long. RefSeq lists it as uncharacterized. Lineage: Eukaryota; Metazoa; Chordata; Actinopteri; Salmoniformes; Salmonidae. The record is from RefSeq and is a predicted model, not a curated record. The transcript has 3 exons.
AACAACUAAACUAACUAGGCCCAGUCGUAGAUUCGGCAAUGUGUGAAUCAUUGCUAGCCAGUAAGGACAUGGAGCAAAUAUUUUUUUACACAUUUGUUUUCAGGGACAGAAGAAAACAGUCCUGCCAGACUUGUUUGGAGGAUCGCUAAAGCAGGACCCGAACCUAUAUCGCCGGCUGGGAACCAGACAAGGUCUCCUGGUCAAAACUAAGAGGACCUGAGCCCUAGGACCAUGCCUCAGAACUACCUGGCAUGAUGACUCCUUGCUGUCUCCAGUCCACCUGGCCGUGCUGCUGCUUCAGUUUCAACCUUUCUGCCUGCGGUUAUGGAACCCUGACCUGUUCACCGGACAUGCUACCUGUCCCAGGCCUGCUGUUUUCAACUCUCUAGAGACAGCAGGAGCGGUAGAGAUAUGAAAAGCGAACUGACAUUUACUCCUGAGGUGCUGACUUGUUGCAGCCUCGACAACUACUUGUCAUUAUUAUUAUUUGACCAUGCUGGACAUUUAUGAACAUUUGAACAUCUUGGCCAUGUUCUGUUGUAAUCUCCACCCGGCACAGCCAGAAGAGGACUGGCCACCCCUCAUAGCCUGGUUCCUCUCUAGGUUUCUUCCUCGGUUUUGGCCUUUCUAGGGAGUUUUUCCUAGCCACCGUGCUUCUACACCUGCAUUGCUUGCUGUUUGGGGUUUUAGGCUGGGUUUCUGUACAGCACUUUGAUAUA